Molecule: non-coding RNA, 10433 nt
Organism: Macaca mulatta (Rhesus monkey)
Lineage: Eukaryota; Metazoa; Chordata; Mammalia; Primates; Cercopithecidae
Source: RefSeq, a predicted model, not a curated record
CAUGUAAUAUUGUGCCUCUUGGCAAUUACUUAUUUUAAUCAUUUUGGAAAUAUACAAUAGCCUUAAGCAUAUAAAUGGUUAUUGAUAUAACAGAAAUUUAUUUGCUGCUUUAAAUAUUUCAUUUAAAGAUUGUCAGUUCUAUAAGGCUUUAUGUUUUGGACUCCUUUGAGUAUCAGUUAAAAGCUAUAGGCCUGCUCCAGAAAAAUUCCUAUACCUGCAUAUAUAUAAUUUUUAAAAUUGCCAAUCAAAGUUCCCACAGACUUCAUGGAGCCCAUCUAUAAAAUCUUCCUGGAGCCUGUGGCCCUGAGUAACAACCAAAUAAAACGUUAUUGGACUCUCAAUGCAACUCUUAAUAAAUAUGCUUUGAAAAUAGCUUGGAGUAUUUCAAAUGAAAAGAAUUUAAUAUUCUUUUACCAGCACUAGCUAUUUUUUUUUUUUAAAUGAACUUUCUUUGGAAUCAGUUCCUUGUGUAAUAAUGGCUAAAACCUUGAAACAGUUUAGCUUCUUUAUCUUGUACAAUAUAAAAAUGAGAUAAAGACAUACAUUUUGCCAUAGGAAUGAACACAUUGAUCACAUUAAUGAAAUGCUUUUUAUUGAAUAUAUAAUGGAGGCUAUUACCAGACAUGCAAAUAUGCAGCCAGAUAGAGCUAGCCAAACAGAAUGUGGCAGUUUUAAAUUUAAGCCCCUUUUGAUGUAUGCAGUCCACAUUAUUUGUUAAAUUUGAUUUUUUAAAAUAUAUUUUGUCCAUUGUCCUUUCACUACUAUAAAUUGCACAGAUAAUCCCUAUGGAGGGACAAGAUAAAGGUAUUUUUUCCUGUUCAACUUCUCGUUUCCAACCUAGACUUUGCCUAACAUUCUCUUUCUUCUUACAAAUAAACUAGUAAAAACAGUACAUUUCUUUUUUGCCUAUAGCCAUAUUUCAUAAUUUCACAUGAAAUAGUGUUUGAAAAUGUGCACAUUUUAUUUCUAUCCCCAUUUCUGUGAAAAUUAAAGCUUGGUAUUUAAGCACUUUUCAAGGUCACAAGAGCUCCUAUUUGGCUUAGGUAGGAUUUUGGGUUUUUUGGUAAUCUAACACUCAUCCCAAGAAUCAGGACUGAUUUGAAAAAGAGACAAAAAUAUUCAUUUAAAAGACAAUGAAUGAAACAUUUACAUAAUCGUACAUUAAAAUGCACUUGCCCAGUAUUCAUUUUUGGAACAUGUACAAAACUUUGUUAUUUAUCUAUAAUAUUUAAUAGUAUUUGUCAUUUAUGCAGAGAUGCUUUUCUCCAUACAUUUACACUGUAAGUAGUUUUCUCUAACUCAUGAUCAAAGACAUUUCGAACUUGAUGAAUUAGUAUGUUUUUGUUGUUUUGUUUUGCCGUGUAUUUUCUGUCAGAAUUGUGAGCUGGGAGAAGUUUCUGUCAUGACUCAGGAGUAAAACAUCCUGGAUGGAAUUUAUAAUCAAUACACAUUUAUGUUCAUAUUCCAAGUAGCAUUCUCUAUCAGUCCGUUUCUUUAGGAUGCGUUUCUUUUUUCCUCUCAAUUACAAUUCCUCGUUAGUUUUCGGCUAAUUUAUAUCUCUAUUAGAGCUACUAUACCUAGUACUGGUUUUGCACCAAAUACAUUCCACAUAUUCUUUUUUGUGGAUUAUUUUUAUCCUUCAAAACAGCUCUAUUAGGUAAAUGUUAUUUUUAUCCUCAAUUCCUUGAUGAAGAAACUUGAGUUUCAGAGAUAUUAAGUGAUGUAUCCAAAGAGUUUGUUUACACUUCACAACAAACUAUCACCGAUUAAGUGACCACUUCAAUGUCACCUCUCCUUUGAAAGUUAGUGAUCUCUUUAUUUUCUACAACUUAAGGUACAUUUUACAUAUUAUACAAGUCACUCAUUUAAAGUUUAAAAUUCUAUAAUGUUUAGUAAAUUUAUCGAGUCGAGCAACCAUUCCUAUAAACCAGUUUUUAAACAUUUUUAUCUCUCCAGUGAGAUCCCUUGUACCCAUUUAUUAAUAUCUGUUCCCAUAUACAUGGAGUCAGAUAUCUCCAUAAAAUUGACCUUUUUGGAUAUUUCAUAUAUAUGGAGUCAUGCUGUAUGUAAUAUCUUGUAUCUUGCUUUUUAGUAAUCAUUUUUGUUAUUACUUUUAAGGGAAUAUACCUUUAAAUGUCAUUAUAAUUAUCAAUAUUAUAAAAAUAUAAUAAUUAAUCCUUAUAUCCCCAGAAAUAUGAAUAAUUUCUCCCCAAAGCAUUCUAGUUGGCACAAAUCUUUAUUUUGCUCAAAAAGUUCUGGUAAAGUUAAAUAACUUGUCUUAAGAGUAACAAAUUAUUUUUAUUGCUUUCAAACUGGUAUUUCCAUCCUUUGGUACCUGUUAAGAAAGAGAUUAAGUAGCUCCUUUUAAAGAUCUCAAAACGUAUGAAAACAAACAGUAGUCAAGACAGUAUUAAUUGUCCCAGGAGACUGUAUUGACUGGUAUUUUCAUAGGCAUUGUUUUGUCGGUGGUUUGGAGGGAUAACAUCCUGUUAUGGAAAUUUCUCAGUUUUCACAACUGAUCCAGGUUCCCAUUCUCAAUCAAGCCAGUAAUUCUUCCUUGACACAAAACACAUCCGUUGUAAUUACAAAUGACUUUUUUCGUACAACAGUCUCAUAUUUAUAUUAAUGAUGAUGUCUGUUUGUUAUUUGUUGGGAACAUUUUUGUUUUAUUUUGUUUUGUUCCUAUAUUUCAGCAUCUACGCUAACUGCUGAGUAGUUCCAACUGUGCCUCUUAUGUCAAAAGUUGCAAAACUUUUCAGUUCUCCCAGAGUAAAUUAAAUGAGCAGAAAUAAAUGCUCACCAUUUCCUGGCAAUUCUAUACAAGGCAUCAGAAACUCCAAACUGCAAAAUUUAAAUGAUGCUAAAUCUAAUACAAUAAUAAAUAUGAAUAUUAUUGGAAAUAGUAAGCAAAGGUAUUUACAUUGCAAAAUAUAGCACAUGAUCCGAAUUUUAUUUGCUUUUAAACUUAAGCUGCCAUUCCUCAGUUUAUAGUAGCAAAUUAAAUUAUGCAAUUAUAAAUUUUGAGCCAAUAUCAAGCUAGUUUUAUUCUCCAAACAAAUAUUAAACAAGUAAUUUGAGAAGAUGGCCAGAAAUGGUCAAUAACAAAGUAGUUUAUUGAAGAGUCAUUAUAUCUCUGGAAAAUCAAAUACAAAAAAAUAAUAAAGAUAAAAUGAAACUUAAAAAGCUUAUUUUAGUUUUUCAUAGUCAUGAUUGAAUUUUUGUCCCCUAUGUUUUUAUUUGGAGACAAUGAUUUUAUGAGUGACUCAACAUUAGUAAAACAGAGAAAUAUUGAAUGUUUUAUGAUUUCUGUAGUGCUUAUAUGAGUGCAGUAAUCAACAAGUCAAUAUUUGAAAGCACUUAGAAAAGUAUCUGGCACAAAAUUGGCAUCAUUAAGUGUUUGGUAAGUAAGAUUGAUAAGACUCCCCAAACAAAGUUUUCUUCUCGAUUUAACUUUGAAAACUAUUUUUGCUUUGACAGUCUUCUGUCCAAUCAACUUUUAAAAAAUUCCUCUUGAUUUAUGUAAUAGAAAAAAUGUAAAUAACCUAUAGGUAUACAAUUUGAAAAUAUACAUCUAUAGUAACAUGGGCUCUGCACAAGGCAUUAUUUAUUUAUACACCAUUUAUUUCAGAAAAACUCAUGCUUUAGAGUUUAACAGAUAGGUACUCUAGUUGAGAUUCAUGUUCUUUCCUUCAUUUCCGGCAAGAUUUGAGAUAUUGUGCUUACAUUCCUGAAUUUAUUUUUAUUGUGUUAAAUAUAAUGAAACCUGAUUAGAGAAAAAAAUAGAUAAAGGACUGCAAAAAAUAUUGUGUUAAAAGGGAAGAGUGCCAGAGAUUGAUUUUUUCUCCUAUGUUGUGUUUGUGUGUGUUAAUCUCCAGUAGCACAAAGCACAAAUCUUCAUAUGCAGUAAAGAGCUAAACCUUCAAGGAAAGGGAAGAUCUUAUGACACUACCAUCUUUGGUGUGGGAUUUACUUAAUUUGGCAGACAUCUUUAUUUCACUAGGCUGAGGAGAUUUGUCCUGGGUACGGUCAAGACCUAGCAUGUCCUUGGAUAUUUCAUGGGUUCCGGACCAAUGUGAUUUUUGUCUGGUACAUUUGAGCAUAGUAUUAAUUUUAACUUUUUGCUAUAAUUGGGGUUUUGUAUACAUAUUUCCAACUUAUCUUUUUAGAAUUUACAAAAGCAAUUAGGUGUUGAUGGACAAAAAAAGAGCAACAGGACUAAAGUGCUUGCCAACAGAAUUGGUCAGAGGGACAGUUCCUGUUAAACGGUUUUCCCUUUCUGCUACUCGUUGAAAGAUAAUAGUAUCUUACCUGAACUGCAAUUAUAAAAACAGAAUUUACAUGUGCUUCUGGCAAAGGUUCAAGGGACCAAGUAUUUACAUUGAGUGGUUUCAAAGGUGCAGCUUUGGACGUAAAUGUAAGGAAAGGACUAUCCCUCUUACAGGUUAUCUGUGUUAUUUUAUCCACAUCUCUUCAGGAAUAGACUCCAUUCACUAAGAUUUCCACCUUUCUGAGUUUAGCCGCCAGUGCUUAUUCAGCCUUCCUUCUAUUUUAUGAGAUAACCCAGAUCCUUUCUAAUACAUUUCUAGCACCACCCCUCUAAUUGUGAAUUACCCCUCUAAUUUUGAAUUCACUUUUGUUCAGUCAGAAUUAGUAUGUUCUCGUUAUUUGAAAUCCAACUAUCUUAAAAGGAUUUUAUAAAAUCACUCAUAAACCUAUGGGUUUUAUAUGUAUAAUAUAAGGCAAUAUAUAUGCAGCCAAAAAGUGCUAUAGAAAUGGAAGCUAUUAUUUCUGACUGGGAUGGUCAGAGAAACCUUUACAGGAGAGAUUAAACCUUUGAAGAAGUGUCUCAAAUAAGUUUAAGUCAAUAACUAAUAUUUAUUUUUAGUUAUUUCAUAUUAUUGUAACACUUUUUCACUUAAUUAUUCUCAAAAAAAUAGUAGGUUUGCAAAAUCAGAUUUUUUUUCACAUCUUAACAUUGACAAAAUUGCAUAGUGGAAGAAUAUAUAUUGUAGUCUUUUGUUUUUCCCCAUCCCCAAUAUGUAUUAUAUUUUUAAUAAACACUAGGAACUGUGUUCAUCUCUUUUUAUGUCUUCCAGCAAUUCUUUUAAUUAUAGACUGAUUUGUCUCAAUAUUUAAAAUUUAUUAUUAAUUGAUAAAUUACCCUUGUCUCUACCAUGUAGAACAUAUAUUUUUUUUUUUUCUGAAAUAGAUAUCAUUGUGGAAUUGCUACACAAGCUAAUUUUAAUGUGGUGAUUUACUCCAAUUUUUACAAAUAACAAAUCAGAGUACUAAAGUGACUUGUUUAGGAUCAUAUUAAAAGCAAGUGGUUCAGUUCCAGCAAGGACCCUUCACCUCUGAGUUAGUUCAGUUUCUUUCUUUCAUAUAGUUUCUUGAAAGAGGAUUAGCAGAGUUUUAACAGAAAAAGAGAGAUGGAGAAUGCUCUUGGGAGGGGCCUGAGACAGGGCAGGUAGAGAAGAGAGAACGACGUUCAGAAGACUAUAAGGCAAGUCCAGGUGGGGGUGCUAAUGGCUUGACCAGGGCAGAGAUUUGUGCAGGAAAGUGGUUAGAGAAACACCUGAAGUGGCAGGCUAGUGUUAAAUUACAGUGAGCACAAUAACUUUCUUGAUGUUUUAGUUGUUUCCAAUGUUUUCAAACUGAAAUGUGGGAAUGUGUUCUUAACUUUAUAUGAGAUUAUAUAAUAGUUUCCUUUAAAGGAGUUAAAAUAAUUACACUCAUUAGGAAGCAAUUCAAGAUAGCAGGAGAGGGAUGUGAACAAAAUAGUGAUUUCUAGAGAUAAAUUUUUCAAAUUUAUUCAAAUUUUUAUCAAGUAUUUAUUGAGAGCCAAUAAUAUGUUAGUACCUAGGGUCAACAAAAUGAACAAGAUAUCUUCCCUAUUUUCCAGGAAUUUAUAUUUUCAAGGAAUGUACAUUCUCCCAAGAAUUUAUGUUGAAACAGAGAAAUGUACUAAACAGAUAAAGUAGUUAUAAAAUUAUGUAUUAAGAAUAUAUUUUUAUAACUUGUGGAAUGAGAAUUUAGCCUAUAGUAAAACUUAAAAGCUCAGAGAGUGAAUUGUUUUCUUUUUUAAAAGAAGAGGGGUAUCUUCAAGACAUUCAUCAAAAUAUGAGUGGAUAUUCAAGCAGUAAAAACAUGUUUCAUUGCUUUGAGAAUUACAGUCUUAGUAGAUCACCUAUGAGUAGAAUGCAGGUCAAGACCUUGAGAACUUCUUGUACAAUCAUUUGUUAGUGUUUUUCAGUAAGACGAAAAAUAGAAAUUAACAAUUUGACUAUUUUCCCACUGUGUACUUAUCCAUAAGAAGGUCAAAUGAAAAGUGUGCUUUAAUCUGACAUUUUUAGAUAUUAUUGGAAACGAUCAAGAACUUAAAGCACGUAGAACAUAAACAGGCAAAGCGUAUUCUUUCUGGGAGAUAAGAAAAGUUUUGCUAUGUUUUAAAAAUAUAUUAUUCAAAAAUUACAGAAAAGCUUGAGUUAUAAAUAGUAAAAUUAUUCAUAUUUUUGAAAUCCUUGUUGACAAACCUAUAUUAUUAGUGUAUUUGGACACUUCUCUAUUCUACAAUUUAAUUACCAAUUUACAUUAACAGCUUUUUACUGGAUUCUGACCACCCAACAUUUUCAAAGUAGAAAUCCAAAAUUCUGUUUUAGAAAGUACAUUCUGCAAUUUGCUAGUUUAUCUUUCUCAAAAAUGAUCCAUUAAUUGCUCAGCUUCCUCUCUAUUUUGAAUCAAUUAUAAACAAAACGAAAUAAAACAUUUCCUCUUAAUUUAAGAUAUCAAAGUCUAGGUGAAAUUACCAUGAAGAAGUCUUGCAGACUCUGAUUUUGGAAAAGUAAAAAUUAGCCCUACAGUGAUUCAUACAUUUAUUUACUUAACAAACAUUGAUAUUCUGUUCACAAUUAGCGUCUUUGCCUGUCCUGUUUUCUGCGUGUCUAAUGUUUUGAUGCCAUUAGAGAUAUGAAGCAUAGCACCAUAGUAUAGUAAGAUGAACUGGGUAUCAAAGGGCUAGUGACAGGAAUCAGGUAGUAUCUUUAAGCCUUAGUGUCUUUGUCUGUACGAUAAGGAAUUUAGAGUAGAAUUUCUAAGAUUCUUUGCAUAGUUAACAUUCUAUGAGGACCUUCACAAAACUUUUUUUAAUAUUAUAAGCCUUACAAAAUGAGACUGGCAAGUAAGAUUUCAAUUGAUCAAUUUUAAUGUCAAGAAGGUCAUACAUAUUUGAUGUGCCUUUGGUAGCUAUCUAAAGUUGUAUUAUUUUUAAUAACUCUAUCUCAAUAAUUUGUUUUAUUUUGUUUAAAAACUGCAUUCACUACUUGUAUUUAUAUCAGUAAAUUAAAACAUCAUAUUUUUUUCUUGAAGACAAAGCACUUUUUCCUUGAAGCAUUAGCCUAAGUAACUUCUUAUUCUCUUGCUAAGUUUUCUAUCUGGAAUGAUCUUUUGCAGAUUGUCAAAAUGGCUUUCUCCUUCAUUCACUUAGGGCUCCUUUCAGUACUUUCUCAUUCAUUGUUUCUAUCCUUUUUCAUUUACAUUUUUCAAUCUCUUUUCUCAUCAUGGCACUUAUCACUGCCUGACUUUAUAUUGUACAUUUACUUUUUAAUUGUAUAUAUUUUUAUAACUAAUUAGAAAGAAAUUUUAUCAGUCAGGUUUCUUUACUCGCAGUUAAUCCAUAUCCUUGUUGCCUAUAUUUACUAUGCUAUCCAAAGAGGUAGACACUAACCACAUGUGACAAUUUAAAUUUAAAAGUAAAAAUAAAUGGUAUAAGAAAAAUAUUUCUUCAGUCACACUAGCCACUUUUCAGUGCUUGCUAGUUAUGUGCAUCUGGGUUUAAUGGGCAGUACUAGAGUGACUAUCAUAUAAUUGGUGCACAACAAGUAAAACUUAACAAAUGAGUAAAAAAAAAAAGAAAUCUUAAAAGUUACGGUAUGCUUUUCAAAUUAAGAUUUUUCUCCAAAUGUCCAUCAAUCAAUGAGUGAACAAAGAAAUUGUGAGAUAUAUAUAUGUGUUUAUAUGUGCACAUACACAUGUAAGUAUAUAUGUAUAUAUGUGUGUGUAUAUAUGUGUGUGUGUGUGUGUGUAUGAAGGAAUUAAUGGCAUUCUCAGCAACCUGGAUAGGAUUGGAGACUAUUAUUCUAAGUGAAGUAACUUGGGAAUGGAAAACCAAACAUCGUCUGUUCUCAGUCAUAAGUGGGAGCUAAGCUAUGAGGAUGCAAAGACAUAAGAAUUAACUUUGGGGACUUAGGGGAAAAGGAUGUUGGGAAGUGGGUGAGGGUUAAAAGACUACAAAUCAGGUUUGGUGUAUACUGCUUGGGCAAUAGGUGCACCAAAAUCUCACAAAUCACCACUAAAGAAAUUACUCAUGUAACCAAAUACCACCUGUUCCCCUAAAACCUAUAGAAAUUUUUUAAAAAAUUAAAGUUAUAUUACAGCUGCUGGUAUAAAAAGGACCUUUCAGUUUUGUUUUUUAAAAAUAGAAUUAUUCACAUGCAGUUAUAGAUAUUAUAAGAGCGAAAGCAUAAAGCCUAUUUCUCAGGAUUUUAUUCACCAGUAAAGUAAAAGUUUUCCAGGGCAAAUCACUAGGAUAAUUUUUUUCUCUUUUCAAAUGUGAUUUCAUUAAAAGAAAAUGUACAUGUUUUAUAGAUAAAUAACUUACUGAAAUUAACAGAAAAUUUAUAUUAGUAAAAUAGAAUUAGUGUUAAUAUACAAGAUUACAUGAGGAAUUAUACCUCACAUGCCAAUUAAAAAUACCUUUAAGGUUAUUUUCUAUGAUUUAAUAAAUAACAGCACUGUCAAGAUAAAAGUCCCAAAAUAUGUUUUUUAAAAAAUCUUUAAUUUGCUUCACAUUUUUAGAUUCAAUAAAUAUUAGAAAGUGUAGAUGAUAGAAAGUGACAGGGUUGCAUUUGACAUAAAAUAUCUUUUAUAAUAAUAAUUGUAUAGAACUGCUGAUAUAGCAAGGUAAGCGACUUGCCAUUUCAGUAAACUCAGAAGUCUCACAUAGAUACACAGAAAUUAGCAUGAUAAUCAUAUGACACAGGUUUUUCCAAUUUCUCCUUAAAGCUCUAUUAGUCAACUGUAACAUAUAAAUUGUCUUGUUGGUUUUAUUGCUGUAUAUUUCUCAUGAAAUUUUUACAAUUCUAUUAUACUUUUAAAAUUCAUUAGGAGGAGUGAGAUCUAGUGUUCAGUAGCAACUAUAGUCACAAUAAUUACAGUACAGGGUGACUAUAGUUAACAAUAAUUUAUUGUUUAUUUCAAAAUAACUAAAAGAGUAAAAUUGGAAUAUUCCUAUCACAAAAAAAUUGUAAAUUCUAGAGGUGACGGAUAUCUCAGUUAUCCCAUUGGACCAUUAUACAUUGUACACUUGUAUCAAAAUAUCACAUGUACCUCAUACAUGUGUACAACUGUUAUGUAUCCAUAAUAAUUAAAAAUUAAACAUUAAAAAAUUUCACUUUGUCCUCUGGAGAACACGGGCUUUAAAAUCUCUAUAUUGUGAAUAUAGUUGCAUUUUCUCAUCUAUAUUAAAAAUAUAAAUAAAUAUGAUUUCUAAAUUUUAUUACAAUCAAUAAUCAUAGAACUGUGAUAAUGUUUGUGAUUAUGCAUAUUUAGGUAUAGAGUUGUAUAAAAUGUAGGAUGCAGUUUAAUAAGAGCAUUAGUUGAUCAGUUGUAUUUUAGAAAAAUAGCGUUUUACAGCUGUUAAAGAUGUUGGAAAGUCUUCUACCGGAAAUAGAAACUGUCUCUAAGGAAACCCACUAUCUAAUCCUCUCAGGUUAUAACAAGCCAUACUAUAUAAAUCAAAUCCAUUCGCGGACACUUUGGUGCACAUUUCUAUACUCUGCCUUUCCUCUAUCCCUAGAGGUUCAACAAGACUUGGGGAAAGACAGUUAUGAUUGUUUUCAGUUACUGAAGAAAGAGGCUUUUAUAUUUACUAGGAGGAUCAGAGAGGCAUCCUGCAACCUGGAGAGCUCCCUUGGCUCCAAGUUUUAAGUCGUUGGGUGUGUUUGUUCUUUUGUUUGUGUUUCAGGGCGUUGUGGAACAGCAUGACCAUCAUGUUCAGCUUUGAUGCCUGUGGGGGAUAGGUUAGAUAUAAAACACAGUACAGAGAAAGACUUGCUGCAUUUUUAUUGAAAAGUUUAGAGGAAAAAUGUGAAAUUGUUUGCGUCCACAUAAAUGGAAAGAAAUAAACCAACAAAAUACUUGUAAGUUGCUGUUAAAGUUAAUGAUAGCUCCCUCUCUUUAAAGACUCAUUGAAAAUGGCCUUGAUAUUUCUGUUUUUGCUUUAUAAUACUGUCUUUUGUGCAGAUGUUAACAGCUGAGCCUUAUAAAGCCCAUGAAUUUUCCAUGUCUGAAACUUAAUGGUCAGUUAAUGUGUAUAUUUAUUUUGAGGGUAUAGCAGAACAAUAUGUUAAAAAAUAAACAUUAGUAUAUAUAAUGAA